This 484-nucleotide ribosomal RNA is filed under the name uncultured bacterium. Its description in RNAcentral is "partial 16S ribosomal RNA". It matches the Rfam family "Bacterial small subunit ribosomal RNA", at positions 29 to 507 of the family's 1533-position model. The record is from RNAcentral.
AUUGAACGCUGGCGGCAUGCUUUACACAUGCAAGUCGAACGGCAGCGCGGGCUUCGGCCUGGCGGCGAGUGGCGAACGGGUGAGUAAUACAUCGGAACGUGCCCAGUAGUGGGGGAUAGCUCGGCGAAAGCCGGAUUAAUACCGCAUACGACCUGAGGGUGAAAGCGGGGGAUCUUCGGACCUCGCGCUAUUGGAGCGGCCGGUGGCAGAUUAGCUAGUUGGUGGGGUAAAGGCCUACCAAGGCGACGAUCUGUAGCUGGUCUGAGAGGACGACCAGCCACACUGGGACUGAGACACGGCCCAGACUCCUACGGGAGGCAGCAGUGGGGAAUUUUGGACAAUGGGCGAAAGCCUGAUCCAGCAAUGCCGCGUGUGUGAUGAAGGCCUUCGGGUUGUAAAGCACUUUUGGCGGGAACGAAAAGGACUGUGCCAAUACCACGGUUCGAUGACGGUACCCGCAGAAUAAGCACCGGCUAACUACGUG